Molecule: ribosomal RNA, 415 nt
Filed under: uncultured bacterium
Lineage: Bacteria
Description: bacterial SSU rRNA
Rfam family: Bacterial small subunit ribosomal RNA
Source: RNAcentral
UAAAGCGUGCGCAGGNGGNUUGGUAAGUCAGAUGUGAAAUCCCCGGGCUCAACCUGGGAACUGCAUUUGAGACUGCAAGACUGGAGUUUGGCAGAGGGGGGUGGAAUUCCACGUGUAGCAGUGAAAUGCGUAGAGAUGUGGAGGAACACCCAUGGCGAAGGCAGNCCCCUGGGNCAAUACUGACGCUCAUGCACGAAAGCGUGGGGAGCAAACAGGAUUAGAUACCCUGGUAGUCCACGCCCUAAACGAUGUCAACUAGGUGUUGGGAGGGUUAAACCUUUUUAGUGCCGUAGGUAACGCGUUAAGUUGACCGCCUNGGGAGUACGGGCGCAAGGNUAAAACUCAAAGGAAUUGACGGGGACCCGCACAAGCGGUGGAUUAUGUGGAUUAAUUCGAUGCAACGCNAAAAACCUUA